Molecule: ribosomal RNA, 775 nt
Filed under: uncultured Neocallimastigales
Lineage: Eukaryota; Fungi; Neocallimastigomycota; Neocallimastigomycetes; Neocallimastigales
Description: partial large subunit ribosomal RNA
Rfam family: Eukaryotic large subunit ribosomal RNA
Source: RNAcentral
UACGACUACAUAUCAGGCAUAUCAAUAAGCGGAGGAAAAGAAACUAACAAGGAUUCCCUUAGUAACGGCGAGUGAAGCGGGAAGAGCUCAAAUUUGAAAUCUUCAAGGUUCUACCUUGACGAAUUGUAGUUUAAAGAAGUGUUUUCUGUUGGAGUUUUGGUAAAAGUUCUUUGGAAUAGGACAUCAUAGAGGGUGAGAAUCCCGUAUUUGACCAUUUCUUCCAGCUGUGUGAUACACUUUCAAAGAGUCGGAUUGUUUGGGAAUGCAGUCCAAAAUGGGUGGUAAAUUUCAUCUAAAGCUAAAUAUUGGCGAGAGACCGAUAGCGAACAAGUACCGUGAGGGAAAGAUGAAAAGAACUUUGAAAAGAGAGUUAAACAGUACGUGAAAUUGUCAAAAGGGAAGCGUUUGACACCAGUGUUGUUUUCUCGAAAAUCAAUUAAAAAUGACCGGAUUUUGUGUUGUAUUGACUUUAUCAGCUUUCUGCACUUUUUUCUUGUCUUUUUUAAUGCACUUUUCGUUUAACAAGUCAACAUCAAUUUCUUUUGUUGUAAAAGGGUCAUUGGAAGGUGGCUUUCACUUCGGUGAAAGUGUUUAUAGCCUUUGACUUCUGCAAUCGGAGAGAUUGAGGUCUGCAGCGUAGAUCCUUCGGGGUUAGAUACGUAGAUGCUAAGUUAUAAUUAUUUCAUAAACAACUUGUUGACUAUAAGUAAUCAUGUAGCUUACUCGUUUGCGCUAUUUUACCUACGCUUAGGAUGUUGAUCUCUCACAGUCGAGC